RNAcentral lists this long non-coding RNA (554 nucleotides) under Monodelphis domestica (gray short-tailed opossum). RNAcentral describes it as "lncRNA (ENSMODG00000035851.2)". The record is from RNAcentral. Lineage: Eukaryota; Metazoa; Chordata; Mammalia; Didelphimorphia; Didelphidae.
UGACAAUUCUUUGCAUAGAAAUGAUCAUUGAAUUCUUGGGAGUUGAUAUGAUCUUGGAGAGAGACAUAGACAAGAGAAGAAAAAGGAGCUCAGGGUAGAACUUUGGAGGUACAUCCACAUUCAGGGUCUGGGACAUGAUGAUGACCAAAUAAAGGAGAUGAAAAAGAGUAGUAAGGAAGAGAAGCAAGAAAAGAGUGUCAUAGAAACCCAGAGAGGAGAGGGUAUCCAGGAGGAGAGAGGAUAACAGAGAAGUAAUUCAAGAAGAAAGAGCACCGAGAAAAGGCCAUGAGGUUUCAAAAGAGAUUAUUGGUUGCUUAACCCAGACUACAAGAGGAAGCAUUUGGGUCUAGCCUCCUGAGUCUCUACAUGGAAUCCUUCAGCCAUUGAGUGGACUUCUGGGCAGAAGUGGCUUUUCAAACCCCAUUUAAGUUUCUUGUUAAGGACAUGACAAGAAGAAAAUUUCUGUUCUUCCCUUUAGGACUCUCCUGUACUUUUAACUCUGACUCCCUCACGUGUGAGGGAGAGAGAGAGAGAGAGAGAGAGAGAGAGAGAGA